Molecule: long non-coding RNA, 784 nt
Organism: Cannabis sativa
Lineage: Eukaryota; Viridiplantae; Streptophyta; Magnoliopsida; Rosales; Cannabaceae
Exons: 2
Source: RefSeq, a predicted model, not a curated record
GAUAAGGAACUUAGAUAGUUUUGUAUGUGUUUAUCUGCAUAAAUUUAAAUUCUUUAUGUAUUGAACAUAUUCAUUCUUCCUCAAAGUAUUGUCAAGAAAAUUGAAAAAAUUUGCAGAAUGUUUUUGUGGGGUCAAAAUGGCAAUAGAAGUAAGAUUCAUAUUGCCUCUUCAGACAAGGUUAGUUUGUCUAAGAAAUAUGGAGGCUUAGGAUUCAGAAAUGGAUCGAAGUGGAAUUGUGCUAAUCUUGCCAAGUUUCUUUAGGUAAUAAUGCCAAAGUAUGAUGUCCUAUGGGUCAAAUGGGUAAACACAAUUUAUUUGAAAGGAGAAAACUUAUGGAGUUAUAAGCUGCCCCAAGAUACCAGAUGGUACCAGAGGAAGUUGUGCAAUCUGACUUGAUUUCAGUGAUAACAACCUACAGGCAGCAAGUAUAUCGGAGUAUUAUCAAGAUCUGAACCUGGAUUUCUUUCUCUGAAUCCUUGAUGCUGAAACUCCUUUGCUGAUGAUCUUUCUUCACGAUCUUCCUCACUAUGGUUGAGGUAUCACUUGCUGUAUGUGGGCACUAUUCUCACACUAAGAAUUUCGAAAUAUUGAAAAAGAAAAGAAGAGGCAAGUGGCGGCUAAAGAUAGGGAGAGAGAGACUCAAUUUUUUCUGAAUGAGAAGUGUUAGAAGAAAAGUGUAAUUUUCCUGAAGCCUUCACUAUCUAUUUAUAGCAUUCCACUAGGGUUAGGUUUGAAUUAUUUGGCAUUAAAAUAAUGAAAAUAUCAGUUUAAAUUGCCUACAAAA